This is a long non-coding RNA of Acipenser ruthenus (sterlet), 3805 nucleotides long. RefSeq lists it as uncharacterized. Lineage: Eukaryota; Metazoa; Chordata; Actinopteri; Acipenseriformes; Acipenseridae. The transcript has 3 exons. The record is from RefSeq and is a predicted model, not a curated record.
AUCGAGCCCUGAUAGCUGCCGCAGGAAGCCCCGGUUGGGGAUGAUGCCGCGGUGUUCCUUCACUGUCUUGAUGGCCUCCACCAGCGUCAUGGUAUGGUGGAUCAUAAGAAACUACUAGAGUACUGAACGCUGAUGAUGGGCGGAGUUUCAAAUGACACCGAGGAAGUAAGGGGAAAAGCUGCCAUGGAUGCUGAAGCUGUAUCUGUAUCAGCCCACCACAGCUGAACAGCAGUCAGCAUGGCAAAGUGCAGCUUUUCCUGCAGGUUUGGAAAGUGAGGGGUCUUCUUCAGUCCUUCAGGAAGGCAACUCCAGUACUUCACAUGGAGGGAAAAGAAAAAGAAAAUUCAAUCAUGAAAGCAUAGACCUAUUGGUGAAUGGGGUCUUAAAAAAGAAAACAGACCGAUUUGGCGCACACAAGAAUCAUGUGUCAUAUAGAAAUAACAUAUGGGACAACAUAACCAACAAAAUAAAUUCCCAAGGGGCAUGUACAAGAAGAACACGACAUGACAUCCAGAAAAAAAGUUAACAUAAAAUUCACAAACCUGAAGCAGGGGUUCCAGGGUACAGGGGGUGGAACCCAACCCUGCUCUCCGCUGAGCAAUAUUGAGGAGAGAAUCCUAUCCACCUGGGAUGUGCGUGCGCUAGAGGUCAUGAUAUUGGAGUGGAGGGUAGGCGUUUUAUAAAAUAUAUUCCAUUCAAUUAAGAAAUGACACUGCUUUUGUCAGUAGUUACCCUUCUCAUAAAGGUAUAUUUGAAAUGCUUUACUGAUAAAGCACAUUGGAACGCAUUGCAGUGUUUAAAGUAACUAACAGAUUUUGUCAUUUUUUGGAUAUAGAACCGACAUUGGCUGUACAGAACACAGAUCCUGAGGAGGUAUUAUCAGGGCAGCAAACCCCACAAGCCCCAGCCACAGACCCUUAACUAAAUUCCCCUGUGAAUACUCCACCAUUUCCAGCUCCGAGUCCUGCUACCCCCCUGUCCCAGAGCACUGCGUUCCUCCUGUUAGUUCCCUUACCCCAACAAGGAUCCCUUCCAACACACAUUCUACUUUAGUUGAGUUAUUGUCUGCCUUUCAAAAUGUACAGCAGGUGUCCAAUCAGCAGCUGCUCUCCCACCUAGAAAGGCAAGAGGUGCACAUGACAGCUGUAGUGAGUAACCUGGACAGAACUGCCAGGUGUCUGGAGGCUCUGGUGGAAAGAUUGCCUUUGUGUCCACAUUUAUAUCCCCCUGUUCCCUCUCCUAUCCCUGCAAUGAGCUGUACUCCUUGUAAAUUUCCAAUUGUGUCUGCAGUGACUCCCUUCUCUGCUAGGACACAAGAUUCUCUUUCUUCUUCCUCCUCCUCUAUGUCCUUGAAAGGAACCCUUAAACUGCGGCUACUAGGAGGACAUCAAGAUCAACCAGGCACAAGAAAUUGUUUAAUGAUUUUAAAAUGAAAACAGAAGUUAAAGGGUUUUUUCUUUUUCAAUGUGACGUGUGUUAUUAUUUCAUAUCAAUUAGUAGGUUAUAAUGUAUUAGUUUAUUAGCUGGAUCAGCUGUUUUUGUUAUUUAAAUAUAUAGUUGAUCAUUGAGUAAGCAAAAUAAAAUAUAAACAAAUGUCAAGUGCUUUUAUACAAGGUAGUACAAAAUGAUACAUAUGUUCAAAAUGUGUAAAUUAUAUAGUUACUUUACACACAUUGUCAAUUUAAUAUAAACACAAUGUUAAUGACAAUUAAAUUACAGUAUUUACACAUAAAAGAAAUCCUGGACUAUCCUGUUACGGACAACCUGCCAUCGGGCAGUGCAGGAUGAUCUGCUACCUGUGGUUCCUGAGGUUGCUGUCCACAGGGCUCAUCCUCAAAAUCCUCCAGCAUUUGUUUUUGCACAGCAAUGUUGUGCAAGACGCAGCAUGCCACAGUGAUGUCACACACUCUCUUAGGUGAAUACUGUAAUGCACCUCCAGAUGUGCGCAGACAUUGAAAGUGCAUCUCCAGCAGACCAAAUGUUCUUUCUAUUACAUUUCUUGUUACUUCCUGUGCUCGGUUUCGUGUGACUGCAUAACUGUCCAUAACCUGCGUCACCUUAAGAAAAUAAUAAAAAAUAUAUAGAGAGAGAGAGAGCGUGUGUAGUCCUGGGGGGAAAAAGGACUACGUCUCCCAGAAGGUCACAGGCUUCGUUUGUUUAAUUGUUUAAUUUCAUUUUGUAAAUUGUUUGAUUAGUAAUGAUCCCCUGCACCUGGCUAUCAUUGUAAAUUAGAGUCAGGUGCAGGGUAUUUAAAGAAAGCAGCCAGUCUGUUUGGGGCUGCUGUGUGCACAAGCUUGUGAAAAGAAAAAGGUAGUGUAGUGUUUUGUUUGAAUAUUUUGUUUUAUUGGCAGGUAAACAGCUUAGCUGUCCUGAAAUAGUUUAGGUUCCUGUUCUGUGGUUUAGUUAAUGCUCAAGAAAGAGCUAGGCGUUUGUUUGGUUUAUUUUGUUUUUGUGAUUAUUAAAAAAAAAAUAGCGCAAAGCGCUUUAAGAAACCUCCAUUCCUGUGUGUUGGGUCUGAUUUUUCAAGAACCCGAGUGGUGUAAGCUCGGUUACAUACGGUGGCAGUGAGAGUGGGCGCCCCUACGACCCAGAGAAAAUGGACAGAGUUAAAAGCGUUGAUCGAGCAAAUCAACAAGAACACAGCUGCUCAGAAGGAGCAGAACAGGAGAUGGAGACAGGAGAGGGGGCUACCGGAGCCGACCGAGCUGGAACUGCUGCUCCAAAAGUGGGAGCAGGAAAGGGAGGCACCGCUGGCUGCAGCCCCAGAGGGAGAAGCCCCACUGUCUCAGGAGCAGGAGGAGGAGGAGCCGUUGCCAUCCCCGGAGCCACCGGCUGCAGUCAAGGGGGAGGAGGUGCCUCAACCACCAACCCUGCAAGCCAGUCCGGCACUGCCGAGGGAGGUUCCCUGUCCUGACAUCGUGGACACCUGGCCGGAAUGCCCAGACCUCCCUACACUGGACCUUGCUCCCAGGUCGCAGCACUGCCAGGCACAGUUGCUUGCCUGGUCCCUUGCUCUGCUCCCCCUGAACCCGCAGACGACACAUAAUGGGAGUCAGACAUCACAUGCGCUCCCCCUUUCCUCCCACUGUGUUCCCCCUGAGGCUGCAGACGUCGCUGCGUCGAUCCACAGCCACACACCUCUGCCUGCCAGUUCUUGCUCCCGGUCACCGGCCUGCGCUACAGUCACCCAGGGCAAGCCGGCCGGGUCCCUCCUCGCCGGUUCUCGGUCCAUCCCAGGAAGCGCCAGAGGGACUGACCCACCCUUAAGCCCGCCCGUGGAAGAGGGCGAAGAUUAAAAAGAUGGGACUUGAGGGUGGGUGGUCUUUUAAGGGUGGAGGGAAGUGGCCUUGGAAUGGCUGGGUAUGUUUCACACAAGGGGGAGGAUGUGUGAGAAAGUGUAGUCCUGGGGAGAAAGAACCAAGUCUCCCAGAAGGUCAUAGGCUUCAUUUGUUUAAUUGUUUAAUUUCAUUUUGUGAAUUGCUUGAUUAGUAAUGAUCCCCUGCCCCUGGCUAUCAUUCUCAAUUAGAGCAGGUGCAGGGUAUUUCAAGAAAGCAUCCAGUCUGUUGGAUGUGUGGAGAGCCUGCUUGACAGUGUGCACAAGCUUAUAAAAAGAAAAAGGUAGUGUAAAACUGUGUGGUUUUGUUUUGUUUGAAUAUUUUGUUUAAUUGGCAGGUAAACGGCUUAGCUGUCCUGCAAGAUAGUUUAGGGUCAUGUUCUGUGGUUUAGCUAAUGGUCAAGAAAGAGCUAGGUGUUUGUUUUGUUUUUGUGAUUAUUAAAAAAAAAAAAAAAAAAAAAAAAAAAAAAA